RNAcentral lists this unclassified non-coding RNA (163 nucleotides) under rhizosphere metagenome. RNAcentral describes it as "partial ribosomal RNA internal transcribed spacer region". The record is from RNAcentral.
GAAUACUAGGGUGCUCUCUCUCAUCAGAGAGACCCGACCUUCAUCUCCAAACACUGUGAACUUUAAAAUGAGGACUCGUGCCUCUCUUUAUCAACUCUACAAGUUAAAGAAUGUAAACAAACCAAAACAAAAAAAAACUUUCAACAACGGAUCUCUUGGCUCU